Molecule: ribosomal RNA, 467 nt
Filed under: uncultured bacterium
Lineage: Bacteria
Description: partial 16S ribosomal RNA
Rfam family: Bacterial small subunit ribosomal RNA
Source: RNAcentral
GACGAACGCUGGCGGCGUGCUUAACACAUGCAAGUCGAACGGAAAGGCUCCAGCUUGCUGGAGUACUCGAGUGGCGGACGGGUGAGUAACACGUGGGUAAUCUGCCCUGCACUCUGGGAUAAGCCUGGGAAACUGGGUCUAAUACUGGAUAUGACCUUUCUCCUUAUGGGGUUUGGUGGAAAGUUUUUCGGUGUAGGAUGAGCCCGCGGCCUAUCAGCUUGUUGGUGGGGUGAUGGCCUACCAAGGCGACGACGGGUAGCCGGCCUGAGAGGGUGAUCGGCCACAUUGGGACUGAGAUACGGCCCAGACUCCUACGGGAGGCAGCAGUGGGGAAUAUUGCACAAUGGGCGGAAGCCUGAUGCAGCGACGCCGCGUGAGGGAUGACGGCCUUCGGGUUGUAAACCUCUUUCAGCAGGGACGAAGCGUAAGUGACGGUACCUGCAGAAGAAGCACCGGCUAACUAUGUG